UGCGUAGGCGGGCUAAUAAGUCAGUGGUGAAAUCUUCCGGCUCAACCGGGAACCUGCCAUUGAUACUGUUAGCCUUGAGUUCGGUUGAGGUAGGCGGAAUGUGUAAUGUAGCGGUGAAAUGCUUAGAUAUUACACAGAACACCAAUUGCGUAGGCAGCUUACUAGACCGACACUGACGCUGAGGCACGAAAGCGUGGGGAGCGAACAGGAUUAGAUACCCUGGUAGUCC
RNAcentral lists this ribosomal RNA (229 nucleotides) under uncultured bacterium. RNAcentral's name for it is "partial 16S ribosomal RNA". It matches the Rfam family "Bacterial small subunit ribosomal RNA", at positions 568 to 796 of the family's 1533-position model. The record is from RNAcentral.